Molecule: ribosomal RNA, 491 nt
Filed under: uncultured bacterium
Lineage: Bacteria
Description: bacterial SSU rRNA
Rfam family: Bacterial small subunit ribosomal RNA
Source: RNAcentral
UGGCUCAGGACGAACGCUGGCGGCGUGCUUAACACAUGCAAGUCGAACGGAGUGCUCAUGAUAGAGGUUUCGGCCAAUUGAAUGAGUUACUUAGUGGCGGACUGGUGAGUAACGCGUGAGGAACCUGCCUUUCAGAGGGGGGACAACAGUUGGAAACGACUGCUAAUACCGCAUGACGCAUGACCGGGGGCAUCCCGGACAUGCCAAAGAUUUAUCGCUGAAAGAUGGCCUCGCGUCUGAUUAGAUAGUUGGCGGGGUAACGGCCCACCAAGUCGACGAUCAGUAGCCGGACUGAGAGGUUGACCGGCCACAUUGGGACUGAGAUACGGCCCAGACUCCUACGGGAGGCAGCAGUGGGGAAUAUUGGGCAAUGGACGCAAGUCUGACCCAGCAACGCCGCGUGAAGGAAGAAGGCUUUCGGGUUGUAAACUUCUUUGACAGGGGAAGAGCAGAAGACGGUACCCUGAAAACAAGCCACGGCUAACUACGUG